AAGAUUUUAGUUUAUAAAAAAUAAUUAAUUUGCUAUUAAAAGAAAAAUUCUUUUUAAAUCUUA
RNAcentral lists this transfer RNA (63 nucleotides) under Botrylloides nigrum. RNAcentral describes it as "transfer RNA-Ala". The record is from RNAcentral. Lineage: Eukaryota; Metazoa; Chordata; Ascidiacea; Stolidobranchia; Styelidae.